UACGGAGGGUGCAAGCAUUAAUCGGAUUUAUUGGGCGUAAAGGGCGCGUAGGCGGAAAGACAAGUCAGAUGUGAAAUCCCGGGGCUCAACCUCGGAACUGCAUUUGAAACUGUCUUCCUUGAGGGUAGGCGGAGAAAACGGAAUUCCACAAGUAGCGGUGAAAUGCGUAGAUAUGUGGAAGAACACCGGUGGCGAAGGCGGUUUUCUAGCUUACUCCUGACGCUGAGGCGCGAAAGCAAGGGGAUCAAACAGG
RNAcentral lists this ribosomal RNA (253 nucleotides) under uncultured bacterium. Its description in RNAcentral is "partial 16S ribosomal RNA". It matches the Rfam family "Bacterial small subunit ribosomal RNA", at positions 524 to 776 of the family's 1533-position model. The record is from RNAcentral.